This 427-nucleotide ribosomal RNA is filed under the name uncultured bacterium. RNAcentral's name for it is "bacterial SSU rRNA". It matches the Rfam family "Bacterial small subunit ribosomal RNA", at positions 355 to 774 of the family's 1533-position model. The record is from RNAcentral.
UGGGGAAUUUUGGACAAUGGGCGCAAGCCUGAUCCAGCAAUGCCGCGUGCAGGAUGAAGGCCUUCGGGUUGUAAACUGCUUUUGUACGGAGCGAAAAGGUCUGCCCUAAUACGGUGGGCUCAUGACGGUACCGUAAGAAUAAGCACCGGCUAACUACGUGCCAGCAGCCGCGGUAAUACGUAGGGUGCGAGCGUUAAUCGGAAUUACUGAGCGUAAAGCGUGCGCAGGCGGUUAUAUAAGACAGGUGUGAAAUCCCCGGGCUCAACCUGGGACCUGCAUUUGUGACUGUAUAGCUAGAGUACGGUAGAGGGGGAUGGAAUUCCGCGUGUAGCAGUGAAAUGCGUAGAUAUGCGGAGGAACACCGAUGGCGAAGGCAAUCCCCUGGACCUGUACUGACGCUCAUGCACGAAAGCGUGGGGAGCAAACA